RNAcentral lists this transfer RNA (69 nucleotides) under Marmota monax (woodchuck). It matches the Rfam family "tRNA". Rfam says of the family: Transfer RNA (tRNA) molecules are approximately 80 nucleotides in length. Their secondary structure includes four short double-helical elements and three loops (D, anti-codon, and T loops). The record is from Rfam by way of RNAcentral. Lineage: Eukaryota; Metazoa; Chordata; Mammalia; Rodentia; Sciuridae.
GGGGUUGUAGCUCAGUGGUAGAGUGCUUGCCUAGUGUACAUGAGGCACUGGGUUUGAUCCUCAGCUCCA